Molecule: long non-coding RNA, 2202 nt
Filed under: Marmota monax (woodchuck)
Lineage: Eukaryota; Metazoa; Chordata; Mammalia; Rodentia; Sciuridae
Source: RNAcentral
GUAUGUGUUUACCAAGCCUCUGCUUGCAUUGCCAGGUCUGCUAAGGCCAGAUUGGCUGAAGAAGUCAUGUGAUCAAGACCAGACUCAGUGUAGGAAGAAACUUUAUUAGUGCAUAAAUCCUGGGAGAGAUUAGAGGCUACUCAGGUAAUGGUUGAUCAUAGAUGUCAUAUAACUCAGUGGUUCUCAACUAGGGGUGAUUUCAUCCCACAAAGGGCAUUUGACAAUAUCUGCAGACAUUACCAGGGUGCUGGAAUCAUGUGGUGACCCAGGAUGCACAGAACAGCUCCUCACAAGCAAAGAACAAGCCAACCCAAAGUGUCCCAGCGUCUGUGUGGAGAAACCCUGAAGGCAUCCACACACACAUGCACCAUUCUGGCUGUUUAGCAUGUGUUCUCUCUCUUCCCAACACAUUUUCCCCCUAUUGCUUUUGACAGAAUGUACAAGAUAUAAAAUUCUCUCAGAGCUCUCUCAGUGACUGCUUGGAUUGGCUUCAGAUGAAUAUGACAGGUGCAGCAUCUCCGGCUCAUAUGCCUUGCCAGUCAAACAUAUGCACAUCACGUCUAGAGCAACGGCGGUAAUAUUCCAUGGCUAAAAGAAGUUGCACAUCCAACUUCCACUAAAACAUCUCAAACUACUUUCUCUUAAGCCUUCUGGUUUUCAGGUGUUCUUUGUGCAUCUCUUCUCCAGGUAAAUUGUUCUAUUCCUCAUGAUACCAAGAUUACAUUUGCUCUUUUUACAAAGGGAAUUUUCUUUCAACAGUUCAAUAAAUUCUAACUGUGCACCUACUUGUAGACAAGAACUGUCCCGGGUGCUGGGCUAUAAUGGUGAACAAAACAAUACUGUACAUGCGUGGAGCUUCCUUUCUAGUUAGAGAGACAGACAGUAAGCAAAUCAGAGAAUAAGUGAAAGAUACUGUUAGGUAACAAAAAGCUCUGUAUGUGAGAUCCCUCAUUCUUUGUUUACAGCUGCAUGUUAUUCCAGUAUGUAAAGCUGCUGUUGUUUAUUCAACCAGUCUCAUAAGUAUGGUCACUUCGUUUCUUUCUAAUAUGUUGUAAUUAUAAAUAAUGCAUUAAUCUCCAGGAUAUACAGAGAACUAAAAAAAAACUCAACACCAGAAAAAAAUAAUACAAUCAAUAAAUGGGCUAAGGAACUGAACAGACACUUUACAGAAGAAAUAGGAAUGAUCAACAAAUAUAUAAAAAAAUGUUCAACAUCUCUAGCAAUUAGAGAAAUGCAAAUUAAAACUACACUGAGAUUCCAUCUUACUCCAGUCAGAAUGGCAAUUAUCAAGAAUACAAGCAACAAUAAGUGUUGGUGAGGAUGUGGGGAAAAAGGUACACUCAUAACGUUGCUGGUGGGACUGCAAAUUGAUGCACCCACUCUGGAAAGCAGUAUGGAGAUUCCUCAGAAAACUUGGAAUGGAACCAUCAUUUGACCCAGUUAUCUCACUUCUUAAUAUAUACCCAAAGGACUUUAAAUCAGCAUACUACAGUGACACAGUCACAUCACUGUUUAUAGUAGCUCAAUUCAAAAUAGCUAAGCUAUGGAAUCAACCUAGGUGUCCUUCAACAGAUGAAUGGAUAAAGAAAAUGUAGUACAGGGCUGGAGAUGUGGCUCAAGUGGUAGCGCGCUUGCCUGGCAUGCAUGCGGCCCAGGUUCGAUCCUCAGCACCACAUACAAACAAAGAUGUUGUGUUCACCGAAAACUAAAAAAAAUAAAUAAAUAUUAAAAUUCUAAAAAAAGAAAAUGUAGUACAUAUACAUAAUGGAAUGUUACUCAGCCAUAAAGAAGAAUGAAAUUAUGGCACUUGCCAGUAAAUGGAUGAAACUGGAGACUAUCAUGCUUAGUGAAAUGAGCCAAUUCCAAAAAACCAAAGGCCAAAUGCUCUUUGAUAUGUGGAUGCUAACACACAAUAAGGGUCGGGGAGAGGGGAGGAAAGACUAGAAGUUCAUUGGAUUAGACAGAGGUGGAUGAAGGGAAGGGAGGGAGGAUGGGAACAGGAGACAGUAGAAUGAAUCGGCAUAACUUUCCUGUGUUCAAAUGUGAAUACAUGAGCAGUAAAACUCCACACCAUGUAAGAGUGGCAUUCUAAUUAGAAUAAGUUAUCCUAAUUAGAAUGAGUUAUACAUUUGUAUGUAUGUCAAAAUACACUCCACUAUCAUGUAUAUCUGAAAGGAACAAAUAAAAAUAAAUAAAUAAUGC